AUACGUAGGGGGCGAGCGUUGUCCGGAAUGAUUGGGCGUAAAGGGCGCGUAGGCGGCCCGGUAAGUCUGGAGUGAAAGUCCUGUUUUUAAGAUGGGAAUUGCUUUGGAUACUGUCGGGCUUGAGUGCAGGAGAGGUAAGUGGAAUUCCCAGUGUAGCGGUGAAAUGCGUAGAGAUUGGGAGGAACACCAGUGGCGAAGGCGACUUACUGGACUGUAACUGACGCUGAGGCGCGAAAGUGUGUGGAGCAAACAGGAUUAGAUACCCUGGUAGUCCACACUGUAAACGAUGAAUGCUAGGUGUAAGAGGUAUCGACCCCUUUUGUGCCGGAGUCAACACAAUAAGCAUUCCGCCUGGGGAGUACGGCCGCAAGGUUGAAACUCAAAUGAAUUGGCGGGG
Molecule: ribosomal RNA, 397 nt
Filed under: uncultured bacterium
Lineage: Bacteria
Description: partial 16S ribosomal RNA
Rfam family: Bacterial small subunit ribosomal RNA
Source: RNAcentral